UUCCAUGGUGACGGCAAACAAGGCCCACACUGGACGGGGCAGCUGCUGGGCUGCUACUCUCGCCGCCGCCAUGAUUCCCCCCGCAGAUUCUUUGCUCAAGUACGACACCCCUGUACUGGUGAGCCGGAACACGGAGAAACGGAGCCCCAAGGCUCGGCUACUGAAAGUCAGCCCCCAGCAGCCUGGACCUUCAGGUUCAGCCCCACAGCUACCCAAGACCAAGCUCCCCUCAGCUCCCUGUGUCCCAGAUCCUACAAAGCAAGCAGAAGAAAUCUUGAAUGCCAUACUACCCCCAAGGGAGUGGGUGGAAGACACGCAGCUAUGGAUCCAGCAGGUGUCCAGCACCCCUAGCACCAGGAUGGACGUGGUGCACCUCCAGGAGCAGUUAGACUUAAAGCUGCAGCAGCGGCAGGCCAGGGAAACAGGCAUCUGCCCUGUCCGCAGGGAACUCUACUCACAGUGUUUUGAUGAGUUGAUCCGGGAGGUCACCAUCAACUGUGCGGAGAGGGGGCUGCUGCUGCUGCGAGUCCGGGACGAGAUCCGCAUGACCAUCGCUGCCUACCAGACCCUGUACGAGAGCAGUGUGGCGUUUGGCAUGAGGAAGGCACUGCAGGCUGAGCAGGGGAAGUCAGACAUGGAGAGGAAAGUGAGUGGGGUUUACCGUGACCCUUGGCCCCGUCUCUUCUGUAAACCGCAGGGCCAUGUGCUUGUCAUUCCAGCACUACAUUCUGGCCUCCUAAGGUGCUCUCCUGACAGUCACGACACUUGGACCUGCAUCACCUCAGUGAGGGACCCCUGGUUGAGUAUGAUGGCCAGCCUGGUGGUCUUGGCAGAGUUGUCUCCGCUGUGGACGCUCCAUGCCAGGCACUGACCUCCCACUGGGUGGCAGUAUAUACCCUGGCAAUGUCUUAUGUCCCAUGUCCCUUCCACCCAGGCUCACACCAUUCCAUUCACCUGGCAACAUCCCAGGAUGACUGGUCAUUCUCUCCUCAGAUUGCAGAAUUGGAGACGGAAAAGAGAGACCUGGAGAGGCAAGUGAACGAGCAGAAGGCAAAAUGUGAAGCCACCGAGAAGCGGGAGAGCGAGAGGCGGCAGGUGGAGGAGAAGAAGCACAAUGAGGAGAUUCAGUUCCUAAAGCGGACGAAUCAGCAGCUGAAGGCCCAACUGGAAGGCAUUAUUGCACCAAAGAAGUGAUAAUUUCCACAUGAUAAUUUCCAACAAGACACUUGGGAUUAUUUACUAUGUUCUUCUGGCAGCAAAUAAAAUCAUCAUAAGCCCUUUGUAAUAAAAAGCGUUUCCUGAGUGAGCAAGCUAUACCCUCCCCUAACCACCACCUAGGUAUUUGUCAGAAGUCACACUAUUGCUCCAAUGUCAUGAAACACCUAAGGUCUGCCAGCUAGGCUGCUGGCUGGGCAAUGGAAGAUGGUGUGGCCCUGUUAAUCUAAGUGUGUGGCUUACUAGUCAGCCUUGGGAUCUGCCAGCUCAAAUUCUAAGAAAGUAACUGCUAUCUCGUCAUCACUCUAUACCAAUACUUACUUCUGGCCAAAUGAAUCUGCUUCUCUGCUCCUUAAACUUUUAGUUCACAAUUCAUCUUCUACCUUAACUAACUUGGGCUUCUUGGGCCUCUGGCCUUCCUUAUUUAAUGUCUUCUUAUCCUUGCUCGAAUGCAUUUCUAACUCAUUUUGGAGCUUUGGUUUUCUAAUGUAUUAUCCACACUUACCAGUCAACUGGACCCCUUCCUCCUCGGUUUCAGACUGCCUACGUUAGGAAACGAUGGCAGGGUCAAACCUAUGGCUUUGGAGAAAGUAAAUGUUUGCCAGAAAGGAAUACUAGUCACAGUGGCCUUUGAGUUGUCUGCAACUCAGCUCUUCCCCCAGCACCGAUCUGUUCCCCUUAUCCUGCAGAAAAUCAAGCCCAGACUCUGCACUCCCCUAAGUAGUGAUGUUAAUUAACAACUGAAGAGGUAACCAAAUGCAGGUCUAAUGACUAAUGAUUGGAGUAUGGCUGCUAGACAACUGCAUUUUAGUAUCUCUUCCACUCUCCUGGUUUUGUAGACCCAGAAGACUGAAUGAGUGACAUAAAUCUUUAGUUCAGGGCAAGGCAGGAUGGGCUAGGGUGGUAAGCUGGAGAACUUCCAUCCUUCAGUUAGGCUGCACAAGUAACAUGACCUAAAAGGCACUAACAUGCUCAGCUUCCCCAGAAAGAGGUGUGAGAAGGGACUCUCCUUAGCAGAGCUUCCAUCUGCCAUCUGUCUUGGGUCCAGUGAGCUUCAAGGCUCACAAUGGAAGCACUGUCGUUCCCCCAGAAAAGCUGUGUUCACCAUACACAUUCUCAUCUGGAAUCUAAGGGGCAGCUUUUACCCUGAUCCAGUAUCCUGAGGAAUUUUAAGGCUCCACUCAAAUGACCUGCCUGUGUUGUCAUUUCCAUGGGAAAGAACUCUUUCCACGAGAUCUGCUGGUUCCAGGACUCUAAGACAGGAAUGUAUGUGUCGUAAGUGGGUCCACUUCACAGACUCAUUGAGGCAGAAAUUACUGUAGCUUUCUCCUAUUUCUUCCGCACCCAGCCUUCUUGUAUCUCAAAGCCCAGGCCAUGUACACUAACGUCCUUGAAAUUUGCAGUUCAGUAUGCUUCUAUUCCAAAUCACUCAUUACCAAUAAAAAAGAAAUAUCACCCUUUCCAUUUUGUAGACCUCGUCCCCUAUUUCUGUCAGACAUUUAUAUGACAGGGUGACUGUGGAUGAAUCUUAGUUCAUCCACAGUCUACCUGAAGUGCUACACUUUCAGACUCUUAUCACUGAAAUCCUUAAGGGUGAGGAGGCUUUAUUUCCCUAGCACUGGUGAAGGGCUUCAACUGUCAAACCUCAGAACAAAUGCAUUAUGGCCUUAGAAAUGCCAAUGGGGCAGGAAGAAAACACAAUUUCUAAUUGCAUGUUUUUGUAUAAUUUAAUAAAAACCUUUUAAACAUUA
This is an RNA transcript of Cercocebus atys (sooty mangabey), 2966 nucleotides long. It is a transcript of the gene named dynein, axonemal, light intermediate chain 1, with no coding region annotated. Lineage: Eukaryota; Metazoa; Chordata; Mammalia; Primates; Cercopithecidae. The transcript is spliced from 5 exons. The record is from RefSeq and is a predicted model, not a curated record.